AGCGAACGCUGGCGGCAGGCCUAACACAUGCAAGUCGAACGAACUCUUCGGAGUUAGUGGCGGACGGGUGUGUAACACGUGGGAACGUGCCUUUAGUUUCGGUAUAACUCAGGGACACUUGUGCUAAUACCGAAUGUGCCCUUCGGGGGAAAGAUUUAUCGCCUUUAGAGCGGCCCGCGUCUGAUUAGCUAGUUGGUGAGGUAAAGGCUCACCAAGGCGAGAAUCAGUAUCUGUUCUGAGAGGACGAUCAGCCACAUUGGGGCUGAGACACGGCCCAGACUCCUACGCGAAGCAGAGGUGGGGAAUAUUGGACAAUAGGGGCAAAACUGAGCCACCGCUGUCGCGUGAGAGAUGAAAGGGUUUGGGUUGUAAAGAUUUUUUGGCCCGGAGGCUGAUGACGGUACCCGCAGAAAAAACCCCGGCUCACUUCGUG
Molecule: ribosomal RNA, 433 nt
Filed under: uncultured bacterium
Lineage: Bacteria
Description: partial 16S ribosomal RNA
Rfam family: Bacterial small subunit ribosomal RNA
Source: RNAcentral